GAAGAAUCCAGUCAUGUCCCCUUUCCUUAAACAAGAUCGCACCAUGAUCCAGGAAGUUAUGUCAUUUUGAAAGGAAAACAGCACAAACAUCACUUGCAAUCAAGUGUUUAUUCGGGCCACUCAACCUGCAGCUAAUCUUGGCCUAUCGGAGAACAGCUUCGCCUGUAGCCAGCAGGCCUGUGCAGUUCCUUUCACAUCACACAAAAGUCAGAUACUCAGAUGGUGAGGCAGUUUAGCUGAGUUGACCUUUUAAAAAAGUGGACCCCUGAGGCUGCUGGAUGGUGUUUAAAUAAGAAAUCAAGGCCUGCACAGGUUUGGAAUAACAUGAGGAUGAAUGAAUAAUGACAACUUGUGGGUGAAUUGUUGCUCUAAGAUGCAAAGAUGGAGCUCUUGGGACCAACAUUAUUUUUAAGAUCUUGUUAAAGCAUCACGAGCCUACUGUGAGUAUUUACCCAAGACACUCGGUCCAGCUGGGUUGAUAGUGGUGAAGUAAACAGCAUGAAAACAUAUAUUUGUUGAAAAUGAAUGAUGAUAUUGAUACACAUGGCUUUUUUUUUUUUUUUACUCUCCCUAAAAUCAAUUCAACAUUAUUUAUCUAUAUUUAUCCCUUUUACUUUGGCUGAAGGUCAUUUUGCAGUGCACCUGGAAGACUGUGCUUUUAUUUUAUUUUUUUACUGUGACAGGGAACAUCUGUGAGACUCAGACUAUCCCUACAGAAGUCUGUGGGUUGUCUUUGCUAACUAAAUGCCUGUAGAAAUCAAGUAAUAAAUAGUUAAUUUUGUUGGUAGUGAAGGUUUAUGCUGCAGGCAAUUUGUAACUGAAGUGAAGAGCUCAGAGUGAAUCAUCCUGAUCUGAAGCCGAGACUGACACCGAGCAGAAAAAACAUGCCAGAUAUUUGCCAAACACCUUAUCACCACGCUCCAUCUCUCUGUUCUCAAAGAGGAUGUGUGUAUUAUCAUAUUGGCUUGUGUGGGUGAGAGUAAUUAUGUUCUACUGGACAGAAUACUGUUUUGUACAUGUGUUCUGGCAGCUGUGGUCUUUCAAAACCUGAUUUGAAAGAUGCUCAAGUUGUUUGUUCUCAAUAUCUGGAGUCAGAAAUGUUUGCAUCCCAGAGUAAAGCUGAAGCGUGUCAUGUCUGUGCCACUAGCAAAAUAACUGUGAGGGUUUUCACUCAUAAUAAAGUUUUCCCAAACUAUCUGCCUUUGUUUAGCCAAACACAUAUUCCCACUUGUGGUGUUCGACUAACAGCGUCACUUUUGCAUAUAGAAUAAAAUACAUUUGCAUAAAAAAUUGCACACUUCAGCA
Carassius gibelio (silver crucian carp) is the source of this 1305-nucleotide long non-coding RNA. RefSeq lists it as uncharacterized. The transcript has 5 exons. NCBI's taxonomy places the organism in Eukaryota, Metazoa, Chordata, Actinopteri, Cypriniformes, Cyprinidae. The record is from RefSeq and is a predicted model, not a curated record.